AGACUUCAGCUGGAAAACAGAAUGAUGAGAAACUGACUUGGAAGAGUGACUCUGAUGACUGUAUGAGCAGUGACUGAAGGACUUACUGUUCAUGACAUUUUAGGAAACAAAUGUGAACCAGUCAGUGAGAGAACGU
Molecule: long non-coding RNA, 136 nt
Organism: Haliotis rubra (blacklip abalone)
Lineage: Eukaryota; Metazoa; Mollusca; Gastropoda; Lepetellida; Haliotidae
Exons: 3
Source: RefSeq, a predicted model, not a curated record